GUACGUCCGUCUGUCCUUCCGUCCGUUCGUUCAGGUUAAAGUUUUUGGUCAAGGUAGUUUUUGAUGAAGUUGAAGUCCAAUCAACUUCAAACUUAGUACACAUGUUCCCUAUGAUAUGAUCUUUCUAAUUUAAUUGCCAAAUUAGAGUUUUGACCCCAAUUUCAUGGUCUACUGAACAUAGAAAAUGAUAAUGCGAGUGGGGCAUCCGUGUACUAUGGACACAUUCUUGUUUAUUAUUAUUUUG
Molecule: long non-coding RNA, 244 nt
Filed under: Mytilus galloprovincialis (Mediterranean mussel)
Lineage: Eukaryota; Metazoa; Mollusca; Bivalvia; Mytilida; Mytilidae
Source: RNAcentral